AAAGUCGUAACAAGGUUUCCGUAGGUGAACCUGCGGAAGGAUCAUUAAAAAGUACCGAGUGGCUUCAUGCCACGGGUUAAUGCACCGAUGCCUUCGGGCACGUGACGUGUAAAAUUACUUGUUGAAACACUUUAUUUAUGCUUUCGGUUGCACCUUCCGUCUAACCACGGUUGGGUAAGUCGGCCGAUAGCACACUUUAAAAACUAGUUGAUGAAAUGUCAUGCUGUCUGAUACUGUUUAGUAUUUGAGAAAUCGAAUAUAUAUUAAAACUUUCAGCAACGGAUCUCUUGGUUCUC
Molecule: unclassified non-coding RNA, 296 nt
Filed under: Ascomycota sp.
Lineage: Eukaryota; Fungi; Ascomycota
Description: partial contains small subunit ribosomal RNA, internal transcribed spacer 1, and 5.8S ribosomal RNA
Rfam family: Eukaryotic small subunit ribosomal RNA (bases 1-47)
Source: RNAcentral